AGGGACUACAUGUGGAUUUAAAUUGCUGAUAUAGCCAUAAGAUAAAAAAGAAACCAUAUUUAAGAAAAAAUUUCCUUAGAGUUGUAUACAAACUUCUAAAGUUUUUAAAUUGUAUCUCAUCUUAUUAUAACAAUUAUUAACAAUUAGUUUUUUACGAAACCGAAUGAAACUUGCUUAAAAACCUGCAGGACACCAGCAUUUAAAAUGUAACAUGUCAAAAUUUGCCAUUAACAAAAGUUAAGACUAUAUAUACUUCAAUCCACCAAUUAUCAUUGAAUGGAAUCCAGUAACAACAGACUUAACCUUUAAUAGCACACCGAAAUUCUGUGAGUUUCUGCCACGUGGCAAUAAUCGCGCAUCAAAAGAGUGUAAAUCCUUAGCCCCAAAUACAGUGAGGCCAAAAGGGAGGAACGCACUGAAAACAGCCUGGCGCCACAUAAAUAAACCCGAUGCAACCGAGAAAUGACAACGGGAAUGCUAAGUGCGCCGCAGGGGGCGUGCCCGGUGAAGAACUAUCUAGGAUUUUGUCAGGGUCCCAAACGAAUUUAUAGGCCUGGCCAAAAAUGUUAAAGAGAGCUCUUUUACAGCCCGAGAUUUGCCUCCUUCGAUUCCCUUCACCGACUGCUCAUGGUUCAAUGAACAGCCACCAAGGAUGAGCUGUCUGGGUUAGAAGGAUAAUGCCACCCACAUUUUUUGCCAGACCAAAAAGCCAUCCAUUCUCAUUCCACAUCCAUAUCCCGGCAAGAUGAAACGAAAUUCAUAUAUCAGAAAUUAAUCUCACAGACAGAUUUAUUCUUUUAUGACUGAACGGAAACAAAAACACGCCAGAGUACAAUGUACUUAGGGCAAUUAAAUUUGGGCAAAUAAGUAUUUCCUUUUGUAGUUGUCGAUUGGAGCCAUAAAAUUGCCAAGUUUUAUGUUGUAUUUUCGAAAUUUUAAAUUCCAAAAUUUAUGAGCAUCUGCACUGAAGAAGAACAACAACUAUCUGCAGCAAUCAAAAAGUUGUACAAGGAGAUUUACGAUCCAUUAAAACAAUUAAAAAUCUACCCAUUGCUCUCCAAGUAGUAAAUUGGCCAGAAAGCGCAGAGCAGUGGGGUAGUCGAAAAAUUAACACGAUAUUUAAUUGCCAAGGACUUAGAGCAGGGCAUCCUAGGAGCAGGACAUUCCCUAAUGUCUCCACAUUAAUUUCGUCUUUGCCUCGCUGUUCAUUUUUUUUCAAGCUGGCAAUGGUCGAACAUUUUUUUGCAGCCGUUGAAAAGGAAUUUGUUGACACCAACAAUGUUUCGGACAUCCUGGCAAAUAAUUCUCCCGUUUUUUCUCGCCAGGAAAUUGGCAACUAAGCCAAGCCAAGUCCAAGGCAUUGUGUCCUUUCUUUUCCUCUUGACUGGCUGCAUAUGUCCAACAAAAAGUCCUCCCGUUCCGCCGCUGGUCAGUGCGCUUUAUCUUUCCUUCCGCCAGAUAUUCGAUUCGGAAUUCAAAUUCCGAUUCUGUGCAGUGAAAGGCUUGAAGAUUUAUGCUCUGCAUUGAUUUUAUUGAUGGCCGGGCGUCGAAGGGUGGAAUUUUUAAACGUCCGCCAAGUCGAGCAAUUAAAACUAAUUGAAUUGCCAGUGAGAAAUUGUCAAAGACACUUUAAAUGCAUAUAGACGGCGGCAUUGAAGCUGAACAUUUAUUCCUCCUCCUUCUGCAUUGUGAGUAGUCGGCUUCAGACAAAACCAUAAUUCUCAACGGCCUAGACGGGGCAAAUAAAGCAAACAAACAGAUAAAUCGCCAAAUUAUGAUUUUGGCCAGCGUUUCCUUCUGCUCCUUCUGCUGUCAUCAACAUCGAAAACAAAAAAAUCUCUGAGGAAGAACUUUGGCUGCCUUUGGUCCAGUCCAGUAAUGAUUUACUCUAUUUGCAUAUUUUUGCACUUAUAAAAAUGCACAAACGAUUUUUCAUUUUUCUUAAAACUUAUUAGUGCGGCCCGCUAUCCUUUGAACUGUCCGCUUCCAUUUUUUUGCAACUUCGGCGCUCCUUUGCCUUUUUUAUAAUGAUGGUCAGGCCUUUGUUAUUUAUUUGUUAUGCAUUUGGCCCGCAACUUUGUCUUGCACUGCGUAUACGUUAUGUGUGCGGGUCGGGGGAUGGCGACUUCUGCUGCAUUACGUAUACGCCGCAUUGUCGCAGUCUACAAUUGGCAGCGCCUACAAGUCUGCGGUGCUGAUUUUUCUGCUGCUGCAGUGUCCACACUUAACUAUUUUCAAUCUUGCGAGGCGUUACUUUAUGAUUCAACUUCCCUACCUUAAAAGUUGAAUGGCUUACCAAGAAGGAACUGUCCCAUGUUCCGAAAAAAAAGGAGGGAUAGUGCUAUUAUUGUAAACAGAAUAAAGCAUCUUGUGGGUAUUACAUGUAGUUAAAAUAUUUCCAUUAGCACGUUUUUAGGAAUUUUGUUUUGUAUUUUACAAUUGUGCUUGAAUGUUUAUUUGAUAUAGUAUUUAUAAAUGCAAAUGAUAUAUUUAAGUUCUAGUUAAUGUAGAAUAUCUCUUAGUGUUCGGUUUAAAAAUUGUGGCGUACUGCCAUAAAAGGUAGAGAAUUCGUGCUUCUCCAUCGUUGUGUUUCCAACUCUUUCCCACAUCUUCGCCGUUUUUCAACCGUUACCGCCCUUUUCUAUGGGCUGUUUUUCAUUCCCUGGAACCCAAAACGCCACGAACAUAAACAUAAACAAACGCAGCCCGCUGUCGGCCGCUUCUUGGCAUCAAGAUUUUUGGCAUCAUCGUUGGCAACGCAUCCUGUGGAAUGCGAGUCGCGUGGCUGGCGUGUGGGGAUUGGGAUUGGGGCCUUGGCAGCGGUUCUCCUUUGGCGGGGUGGCGCCUCUAACUUGGCACUCUCAUUAUGAUUUUAAUUGCUGACGCACAUUUUUGACGAGCUGCCCAGUUCGUCGCUACGUCACCGAUUGUUGUUGAAUUGGCCAAAGAAUUCUUGGCCAGACACCAGCCAGCAGUUGCCAACAGGUGUCCAAUUAUCAUUAUGAUUGUGUUUAUCACCCACCAACAGACACACAUGGGAAAACGAAAUAAUGACGUUUGAUUGGCCUUCGGCAAGGCCGUUUGCUGUUGGCCAACUGUCAACGUCUUGUAAAAUUUAUUGGCCAAUAUUCAAGCAAUUUUUUUUUAUUUUAAGUUCAUUGCUUUUUUGGUUUUUGGCAGACAGUUAAUAUUUGCAGCCUGCCAAUUUUCCGAUUACGAUUUUCUAUUUAUCUUUUCGGUUGUUUGGUUUUUCUUUCGCUGCUGUUUUGAUUGACUUUCAGUUUUCGUCAGAUCUUACAGCUGUGACAACGCCUCUGUGUUGUAGAUGCACUCUUUUCAUUUUUUUUACAGCAUUCAUUGCAGUUAAUAAAAAUAGAUGAAACCUGUGAAGCUAUAUUUUGCGUAAUGUUGUUCCUGUUCUUUAAAAAAUAUUCACAAAAAAUGCAAAGGAAACUUGCGCGUAUAAAUGUGAUAAAAUAUGAAAGGUUGGAAAUGAGAUUAUUCCAAAAUUUGGCCACACAGAAGCUGAAGGCCUAAAGGAAACCUCGUUGGCCAAUUGGGGAGGAGACCCAGAAAGUCGAGCCGAUUUUCCGCUGCAACCGCCGAAGGUCUGACCAACCAAUCGCAACGCACAGCGGCGACGAAGCCCGGCCGAAAGGGAGAAUCUCCGGAAACGGAGGAACAGCCAGCCGCCCUGCAAUGCAUUUCCUUUGGCAACGUGUCAAGAGGCCCUUCACACACACACACACACACAUUAGGAUUCCAGAAGAAUUCUCUGCCUCGCUAACAUGCGCAUCGAGUGGUAUACGUAAUAUAUCAAGUAUACGCCUGUUAGCCGGGCAGAAAGUCUGUGAGUGUGUGCGAAUGGCCAAAAGGAGUGCUGCCAACUGCAUUGCCGGGCUGCCAUCGACUACAACCCCCAACCCGAGGACACCACCCUCCUCCCGGCCAGGAGGCCAACGACGAGUCCUUUUUGGAGGCA
Long non-coding RNA from Drosophila yakuba, 3982 nucleotides. RefSeq lists it as uncharacterized. The record is from RefSeq and is a predicted model, not a curated record. Lineage: Eukaryota; Metazoa; Arthropoda; Insecta; Diptera; Drosophilidae. The transcript has 2 exons.